RNAcentral lists this ribosomal RNA (304 nucleotides) under uncultured Syntrophus sp. RNAcentral's name for it is "bacterial SSU rRNA". It matches the Rfam family "Bacterial small subunit ribosomal RNA", at positions 1077 to 1382 of the family's 1533-position model. The record is from RNAcentral. Lineage: Bacteria; Pseudomonadati; Thermodesulfobacteriota; Syntrophia; Syntrophales; Syntrophaceae.
GGGUUAAGUCCCGCAACGAGCGCAACCCUUGUCUUUAAUUGCCAUCAUUGAGUUGGGCACUUUAAGAGACUGCCGGUGUUAAACCGGAGGAAGGUGGGGAUGACGUCAAGUCCUCAUGGCCUUUAUGCCCAGGGCUACACACGUGCUACAAUGGGUGGUACAAAGAGCGGCCAGCUCGCGAGAGUGAGCAAAUCUCAAAAAAGCCAUCCUCAGUUCGGAUUGAAGUCUGCAACUCGAGGGCAUGAGGGCGGAAUCGCUAGUAAUCGCGGAUCAGCAUGCCGCGGUGAAUACGUUCCCAGGCCUU